UCGCAUAGUCUAGCCACUUUGGGCUGGGCCACUUGCAUUUAGCCAGUAGGUUCGUAACUUCGUAAGUCGUAAAUGAAAUUGAAAUUGUUGUGUCGUAAGAAGCGUUGUCAGUCUUUGCUUUUUGGUGUUGCAGUAUUUGUAUUCUAACAAUCUCAUUUGCAGUUUAAUAAUUCAUAUUUAGUGCCUACCACAUAUUAUUUUGAUUGAAGCUUGUUUAUCUUCAUUUAAUUGCAAUUAUUUUUAAAACAAGAUGGAGACGUUGGCGAAGGGGCUAGUGUUUGGAGUGGGGGUGGCCAUCGCGCUGGUCCUGGUGGCGGUGGACUGGUGGCAGCACCGGAACGUGCCGGCGCCACAGAAUGUGUACGGGCAACGGGCGCCGCGGAACAACAACUAGUUCAGAUAUAGAUAAAAUCUACGGUGCACAAAUAUUGACACGCGAAGGAAAUAAUUAUUGAAUCUGAAUUGAUUUUGUAGACUAAUUAAUGCUAUUAAUAUUAAGUUGCAAAAGUUACAAGGGAAAGCACUAGACCCAACGAUAUUUUACCCUAGAGACACAGCACUAGCCCAUCAAAACUGAGGCGGACAAAAUGUGCAUAAAUGUCUUAAUUUCAUUUAGUCUCAUAAUAAAAAACUACGACCGUUAUUUAAACACUUAGACCAAUUAUUGUAUAGGACCUGCCUCGCUAGACGUUACUUUUCUGUCAAAGUAUAUGAACAACGAUCUAAUGCGAUUAUAAAAACUGUCUCUAUAGAAUCGAUGUUAAAUAGUUGUAAUCAUGUUCGUCGGUUAAAGAGCUCUGUAAAAAUACCUUUUUGUGUAAUUGAGUUCUGUAAAAAAGUGUGGCAAAAACUUCUAGUUUAGUAUAAGAUAUUUACCAAAUCUAAGCUCGUUUUCCUCAGAAAAUGACAGACUAUUUUGUUCGUGAUUAUGAGUGCGAUACAGGUCCUUCUAUAAUUGGUCUGAGAUUUCACCAGAUAUAUCAUAGAUACUAGACGUGGAAUGGAUUUAAUUGUCUCCAUUGAUCAAAUUUGACCUACGAAGAAAUCAGAGACGCAAGAAUUUUAACAAAUCCUAUUUUAUGAAUUUCUAGUAGUCCACGUGAAAAUCGAUGUAAACUCCCGACCCCUAUUUCACCCCCUUCUAUUUAUAUUUUCGCAUGUUUUGUGUAUAAGAAAUAGUCCAUAUAUAUCCACUGAUCAAUUUACAAAAAUAUAGGUACUCAACUCAAAAUUUGAACGAUUUAUAUUGAAAAAAGAACAUAAACCCCUUUUUUGAAUUACAUUGUUUUUAGUAUUUUUCAGGUAAGAAACAUACCAAUUUAAGUAUACAAAUGUAAGUUGAAAAAUGAAGGUCUUUCCAUACAUAUUUCAACUCGAAUUUCACCCUCUUAAGAUUUAAUUUUCGCGAUAAAAAGUAAGUAAUUCGUAUUAUGGUCACCAAUAGUGCCAAGUUUCAUUUAAAUUCAAUCAGUAGUUUCAGCGUGAUGCCCGGUCAAUAUUAAAUACGGACAGACAGACGAAAAAUUAUAAUUUUUAAACUACCUAUAACAAAAAAUGCAGAUUUUAAAUCGAUAUUUUGAAAUUAUGGCAAGAUGAAAGAAUGGCAGAUAUAGCAUAGCAUAGACAAUAAUGAACAAAGCAAUAAUGUUAAAAAUUGUUGAAGAUAAAGCAAAAUGGCGAUUUUCUUGGUGCCUUAUGAAUUGUUUUUUAUGUACCUACUAAGUUUGUAAUAAAUUUGUUUAAUUUUAGAGUAAUUAUUUUAAUUUUUAAGUAUUAUUAUAAUUAUUGUGAUAAUAAAUUUUUAAUCAAGA
Molecule: long non-coding RNA, 1811 nt
Organism: Bicyclus anynana (squinting bush brown)
Lineage: Eukaryota; Metazoa; Arthropoda; Insecta; Lepidoptera; Nymphalidae
Exons: 3
Source: RefSeq, a predicted model, not a curated record